RNAcentral lists this ribosomal RNA (301 nucleotides) under uncultured bacterium. RNAcentral's name for it is "partial 16S ribosomal RNA". It matches the Rfam family "Bacterial small subunit ribosomal RNA", at positions 509 to 809 of the family's 1533-position model. The record is from RNAcentral.
CAGCCGCCACGGUAACACGGGGGGGGCAAGUGUUAUUCGGAAUUAUUGGGCGUAAAGGGCUCGCAGGCGGUUUCUUAAGUCUGAUGUGAAAGCCCCCGGCUCAACCGGGGAGGGUCAUUGGAAACUGGGAAACUUGAGUGCAGAAGAGGAGAGUGGAAUUCCACGUGUAGCGGUGAAAUGCGUAGAGAUGUGGAGGAACACCAGUGGCGAAGGCGACUCUCUGGUCUGUAACUGACGCUGAGGAGCGAAAGCGUGGGGAGCGAACAGGAUUAGAUACCCCAGUAGUCCCUGUCUCUUAUAA